UACGUAGGGGCCUAGCGUUGUCCGGAUUUAUUGGGCGUAAAGAGCUCGUAGGCGGCACGGUUAGUCAGGUGUGAAAUCUCCACGCUCAACGUGGAGGGGUCACCUGAUACUGCCGAGCUUGAGUCCGGUAGGGGAGUGUGGAAUUCCCGGUGUAGCGGUGAAAUGCGUAGAUAUCGAGAGGAACACCUGCGGCGAAGGCGGCUCUCUGGGACGGUACUGACGCUGAGACGCGAAAGCGUGGGGAGCGAACAGG
RNAcentral lists this ribosomal RNA (253 nucleotides) under uncultured bacterium. RNAcentral describes it as "partial 16S ribosomal RNA". It matches the Rfam family "Bacterial small subunit ribosomal RNA", at positions 524 to 776 of the family's 1533-position model. The record is from RNAcentral.